This 375-nucleotide ribosomal RNA is filed under the name uncultured eukaryote. RNAcentral's name for it is "partial 18S ribosomal RNA". It matches the Rfam family "Eukaryotic small subunit ribosomal RNA", at positions 592 to 976 of the family's 1831-position model. The record is from RNAcentral.
CAAUAGCGUAUAUUUAAGUUGUUGCAGUUAAAAAGCUCGUAGUUGGAUUUCGGUUAAGAGCGACCGGUCCGCCGUUUGGUGUGCACUGGUUGGUUUUAACUUCCUGUAGAGGACGUGCUCUGGGUUUAACGACCUGGACUCGGAGUCUACGUGGUUACUUUGAAAAAAUUAGAGUGUUCAAAGCGGGCUUACGCUUGAAUAUUUCAGCAUGGAAUAACACUAUAGGACUCCUGUCCUAUUUCGUUGGUCUCGGGACGGGAGUAAUGAUUAAGAGGAACAGUUGGGGGCAUUCGUAUUUCAUUGUCAGAGGUGAAAUUCUUGGAUUUAUGAAAGACGAACUUCUGCGAAAGCAUUUGCCAAGGAUGUUUCCAUUAA